This 244-nucleotide ribosomal RNA is filed under the name uncultured bacterium. RNAcentral's name for it is "partial 16S ribosomal RNA". It matches the Rfam family "Bacterial small subunit ribosomal RNA", at positions 118 to 351 of the family's 1533-position model. The record is from RNAcentral.
UGGGUAACCCACCCCGAUGACCGGGACAACCCGAGGAAACUCGGGGUUAAAUACCGGAUGAGCUCUUCGCCCUUGAGGGAGAAGAGGAAAGAUAGCUUCGGCCUUCGCAUCGGGACGGGCCCGCGGCGCAUUAGCUUGUUGGUGGGUAACGCCUACCAAGGCGACGAUGCGUAGCUGGUCUGAGAGGACGAUCACGCCACAGUUGGGACUGAGACACCGGCCCAGACCUCCGUACGGGAGGCAG